UAACACGUGGAUAACCUGCCCUUGGGACCUGCAUAACCCCGGGAAACUGGGGAUAAUUCGGGAUAACGCAUAUGUGCUGGAAUGCUUUAUGCGUAAAAAGGAUUCGUCCGCCCAAGGAUGGGUCUGCGGCCUAUCAGGUAGUAGUGGGUGUAAUGUACCUACUAGCCGACAACGGGUACGGGUUGUGAGAGCAAGAGCCCGGAGAUGGAUUCUGAGACAUGAAUCCAGGCCCUACGGGGCGCAGCAGGCGCGAAAACUUUACAAUGCGGGAAACCGUGAUAAGGGGACACCGAGUGUCAGCAUCAUAUGCUGGCUGUCCAGGUGUGUAAAAUACACCUGUUAGCAAGGGCCGGGCAAGACCGGUGCCAGCCGCCGCGGUAACACCGGCGGCCCGAGUGGUGAUCGUGAUUAUUGGGUCUAAAGGGUCCGUAGCCGGUUUGGUCAGUCCUCCGGGAAAUCUGAUAGCUCAACUAUUUGGCUAUCGGGGGAUACUACCAGACUUGGAACCGGGAGAGGUAAGAGGUACUACAGGGGUAGGAGUGAAAUCUUGUAAUCCCUGUGGGACCACCUGUGGCGAAUGCAUCUUACCAUAACGGGUUCGACGGUCAGGAACGAAAUCUGGGGGCACGAACCGGAUUAAUACCCGGGUA
RNAcentral lists this ribosomal RNA (650 nucleotides) under uncultured Methanosarcina sp. Its description in RNAcentral is "bacterial SSU rRNA". It matches the Rfam family "Archaeal small subunit ribosomal RNA", at positions 94 to 743 of the family's 1478-position model. The record is from RNAcentral. Lineage: Archaea; Methanobacteriati; Methanobacteriota; Methanomicrobia; Methanosarcinales; Methanosarcinaceae.